AUGCACCAGGAACAUCUAAGGGGAACAUCUGAAGGAACACCUGUGCAGCCCCCGAGAGAGCCGGCCGGCGGUGUGCCGCUCCCCUGCGGAAGUGGGGGAAGUGGGGAAAGUGGCCAGGGGGAACCGCCCUUCCACGGAGGUGGAAGGACGGCAGCCAACCCGGGGAGGGCCGAGCAGACGAAAGAACAGCGCAGGGUCCUGUGUCGUUCCUCCACGAAGAGGGGGAGCGACAGGAGGGAGAUGCUGGCUGACCUGGCCCAGAAACACAGGAGUUGCAGAGACUGUGUCUCAUACUCAAGACUCCAACCACAGCUCAAAAUGAGGACAGCAAGCUGCUGGCAAGUAGUAACUAAUAAAAACCAGUGUAAAACACCUUGCACAGAGGGGAUGCCGGGUUAAUCACCAUCAACCCAAAGUUAAAAUAUAUUGGCUGUAAUAUUGAUUUAAGAGAGUAAGGGAGGUGUUGCAUUACUACCAUUUUUUGAAAAUCACACUCAACUUCUCUUCAAUGUAUUUUGGCCACAGCUUGCAAUAUUAGGUGCUAGAGAAGUUUAUAUUUGUUACUUAUUGAAAAAUGUGGUCUCUCGGUCAUAUUGAAAAUAUAAAGUCUAUGAGAACAAAGAUGAUGGAUGGAACAGCAGGUUCCUUGACUCUACUAGCGUCAUGUGCUCCAGCUCAGCAAAGGGAAAUGAUAGCAAUUUAUUCAACUACUGAGAAGAAACUAUGGGUAUGGGAGCAGCAACAUGGGCACACCAAAUGAAGCUUUCGCCACCCUGUAAUCCACUAUCCAUCUUCACUCUGUGGAAAUGCACCAUGCUAUUAACCAUGUGAGAGCUGUGUUUAAGAGGAAAUUGACAGCAACACAUCAUAUCCUGAAAAAUUGAGAGCUACAACACUUCCAAGCACCAUGUUUCCAUUAGAAAUAGCCACAGGGUACCUCUUCCUGAUACUACUUAGGCUUUAUUCUUUACCCAACAAUGAUACAGCAUUUUUUAGUUGAUAGACAAGAGACUUCCUUUACCAAUGUGUUCACUACUCAGGAUGCUGUGGCAUAAUACCAGUAGGAGUUAUUCAAAGCAUUUAGAAAUAUAUAUAGAAUGCUUAGGAAUUUUCAAAUUUCCCACAAAUACACACUUGCUCAAUCCAAUAUGCUCAAUAUUUCUUAAGCUCUUACAAGGAGUCAGUAACUUAAGCCUCACACAUAAAAAUACAACAACAAUAAUGGCAGCAUUAUUAUCUCCAUCCAACAAAUGAGGAAAAGUAAAGUAGGCAUGCUAAGUAACAUGCUAAGGUCACUAGAUGACAGAUUAAAGAUUAGCAAGCAACAACACACAGAAAGAUUUGUCAGGGUAAAGGUCAGUUACUGGGCAACACUCAAUUAUCAGUUGUAAUGAAUAUAUAAAGGGCAAAUUUAAAACCUCCAUCAACCCAGAAACUUCUGUGCUAUCAACUGUUUCAACCACUCCACCCCCAUCAGACAUUUGAAGUUAAACCACUAAUUUUAACUUCUAUUUUCCCUCUUCUUUUUUUCUAUUGGAAAUACAAGUGAAUAAAGAAGUUAAUCUGAUAACCA
Long non-coding RNA from Oryctolagus cuniculus (rabbit), 1573 nucleotides. Lineage: Eukaryota; Metazoa; Chordata; Mammalia; Lagomorpha; Leporidae. The record is from Ensembl.